UGGGAUGUGGCUCAGAGGUAGAGCUCUCGCCUCGGAUGUGUGAAACACUGGGUUUGUCCCCAGCAUCUCAU
Molecule: transfer RNA, 71 nt
Filed under: Ictidomys tridecemlineatus (thirteen-lined ground squirrel)
Lineage: Eukaryota; Metazoa; Chordata; Mammalia; Rodentia; Sciuridae
Description: Spermophilus tridecemlineatus (thirteen-lined ground squirrel) tRNA
Rfam family: tRNA
About the family: Transfer RNA (tRNA) molecules are approximately 80 nucleotides in length.
Source: Rfam by way of RNAcentral